Gambusia affinis (western mosquitofish) is the source of this 843-nucleotide long non-coding RNA. RefSeq lists it as uncharacterized. Lineage: Eukaryota; Metazoa; Chordata; Actinopteri; Cyprinodontiformes; Poeciliidae. The record is from RefSeq and is a predicted model, not a curated record. The transcript is spliced from 3 exons.
AUGAGUGGUGUUUGGCGCCCCCUACUGGUUGCCUAUAAAUAAGAGGGGAAACCGGAAAUUCCACACAGACGGUUUUGCACUCUUAUGUGGUAAGUCAUCAAAUCUGGUUCUCCUCUGACUUGUUUUUGUGGUUUUGUUCGGGGACUAAAUUGGAGUGUUGUUGCGAUACACAGAGUGACAGGUGGACCAGUAAGGGCGGCUAACAGGAUGUUUCUGUCAACCACUCAUUACAGGCGGGACGGCAACUUUCGGAAAGAACAACCCAAACAGUUUAUGGGCUGGCUAAUGCCGAUCGCAUGAGCAGGAACUAAACAGACCACAGAGGCAGCCGCAGCUGUUAUUUGUGAGAGUAAAGUUGAGCAAUAAAGAAAAUGCUUUCUUUUACAAUGCUUUUUACUUUUUAUGCUUUUUUUUCUCUCGGUAAAGAAAUUCUGCUGAUGUCAACAACCAUAAUUAGCUUAAUCUGCGAUGGUUUUACUUUUCUCAGUGUCUGAGCCAAAGAGUGUUUGACUGCACCUGUAGUUUGGUGGGAUGUCAGUACUUUAAUUUCCCAAAGUAAAAUGAGCUUGAAAUGACUUUCUGAAGCCAGAUUCAGUGUUUUAUUAAAAUUUAGUCUAGAUGGACAGAGUUAGAGUGGCAUGACAACGCUGACAGAAAAAAAACGCUUUGACAACUAUUUAGUGUUAAUAAACUCACUAAAAUAAUAUAAAGCACACAAGUUAUGUGUAGAAAAGUGAUAUUAGUAUCCUAAUCCAGUAGGUUCCUGGGAGGGAUGCACUGUAAAACAUUUGAGCCACAGUUAGUUGUAUCUACUAUUUUCUAUUCUUUAAGUCAAAUAAAUUU